UAUUUCGGUUCUUAGAAAUUUGGAUCGGAUUACUCCGUUUUAACUUUGUUGCGUUUCUAUUGGGCUUUCGUCUAUUUUUUACCGGCCCAUAGUUUAGGGCUCUGAGUUUGGACAAACCAUUGAUAAGCUUGCGCUCUUGUGUCUUUGGAGGGUUUGGCGACUUCCACCGAUCGUGUCUCGCUUUCAUUCUUCGCUCCCAGGAAUCAGAGUAAAACACACACGAAACCAACAAGAGUGUGUUUCUUCAAUGUUGGUCCAUUCCCAAAAUCAAAAAUCUUGAGACAGAUUGUUCCUCUUCUAGCAAAUGACUUUGCAACUUCACCAUCGUGGAGACUACCAAGGCGUGUGACAGCAUCUGCAGACAAAAACUCAAUCUCCCCGGUAGCAGAAAACAGAUUGCAAAACAGGUUGUUCAUGGUGUAUUGCUGCCUAGGGUUCAUGUGGAUGGUGAAGAAAGAAUUUUUGCCUCAUUACUUUAGGUUUCACAUGAUUAUGGGAUUGCUUCUAGAAGCAUGUGAAUUCUUCCCUUGGAUUAACAUAAAUGGUAGUUUAAGGGUGUAUUACACGAUACUGGUGAUGGGAUUUAGUUGCACACUCACCCUUGUUGACAUAUUAUGGUGGGCUGCCCCUAAAAUCGCCCUCUGUUUUGUUGGUGCUGGAAUGGCAUUUGUACAACUUUGUAAGGUUUUAGGAUUAUCUUAGAUGGUUUUAAGUCAUAUAUGAUGAUGGUGUCUAGUUGCACACAUGUCCUUGUUUAUAUUACGGUGAGCUUUUUUCUAGUUAUCCUUCAAUAGAAUCUUUUUUUUAUACCUUUGAAAAUCCCAACAAUAAAGUCUUGUUUCAUUU
Molecule: RNA transcript, 846 nt
Organism: Arabidopsis lyrata subsp. lyrata
Lineage: Eukaryota; Viridiplantae; Streptophyta; Magnoliopsida; Brassicales; Brassicaceae
Exons: 4
Source: RefSeq, a predicted model, not a curated record